RNAcentral lists this ribosomal RNA (303 nucleotides) under uncultured bacterium. RNAcentral's name for it is "partial 16S ribosomal RNA". It matches the Rfam family "Bacterial small subunit ribosomal RNA", at positions 507 to 809 of the family's 1533-position model. The record is from RNAcentral.
AGCAGUAGCCGCGGUAAUACGAAGGGUGCAAGCGUUAAUCGGAAUUACUGGGCGUAAAGCGUGCGUAGGCGGUGAGUUAAGUCUGCUGUGAAAUCCCCGGGCUCAACCUGGGAAUGGCAGUGGAUACUGGCUCGCUAGAGUGUGUCAGAGGAUGGUGGAAUUCCCGGUGUAGCGGUGAAAUGCGUAGAGAUCGGGAGGAACAUCAGUGGCGAAGGCGGCCAUCUGGGACAACACUGACGCUGAGGCACGAAAGCGUGGGGAGCAAACAGGAUUAGAUACCCCCGUAUCCCUGUCUCUUAUACA